AACUUUCGGCAACGGAUCACUUGUCUCCAGCAUCGAUGAAGAACGCAGCGAAACGCGAUAUGUAAUGUGAAUUGCAGAAUUCAGUGAAUCAUCGAAUCUUUGAACGCACAUGGCGCCUUCCAGUAUCCUGGGAGGCAUGCCUGUCCGAGCGUCGUUUCAACCCUCGAGCCCCUGUGGCCCGGCGUUGGGGAUCCGCCACGGCAGGCCCCUAAAACCAGUGGCGGACCCGAAGGCCCUCUCCUUUGCGCAGUAGCAUCAGCCUCGCAUUGGGAUCCCUCGGCGUCCUGCCUCUAAACGCCCCACAAGUCCGCUCCGGCGGCACCAAGGUUGACCUCGGAUCAGGUAGGAAUACCCGCUGAACUUAAGCAUAUCAAUAAGCGGAGGCU
Molecule: unclassified non-coding RNA, 386 nt
Filed under: uncultured Colletotrichum
Lineage: Eukaryota; Fungi; Ascomycota; Sordariomycetes; Glomerellales; Plectosphaerellaceae
Description: sequence contains ITS2
Rfam family: 5.8S ribosomal RNA (bases 1-154)
Source: RNAcentral